CCUACAUUACUACCCCUCAUUAAUUCUAUUCAUUGCAUGGAAAAAUUCUACACCUAUAAAUAGUGGUGGUUCUUCCUUUGUAUUGUGAGAUUAUGUACAAAGAAACAUGAUAAGUGUGAAAAAGAUUAUAGUGUGUAGUAGUGAAAGAGAGAGUUGCGACAAAGAAAAUAUUCUAAAUCUACAAUUAUACUCACUAUACAAA
RNAcentral lists this long non-coding RNA (202 nucleotides) under Capsicum annuum. RNAcentral's name for it is "long non-coding RNA (CANN_LNC008939)". Lineage: Eukaryota; Viridiplantae; Streptophyta; Magnoliopsida; Solanales; Solanaceae. The record is from RNAcentral.